RNAcentral lists this ribosomal RNA (253 nucleotides) under uncultured bacterium. RNAcentral describes it as "partial 16S ribosomal RNA". It matches the Rfam family "Bacterial small subunit ribosomal RNA", at positions 524 to 776 of the family's 1533-position model. The record is from RNAcentral.
CACGUAGGGUGCGAGCGUUGUCCGGAAUUAUUGGGCGUAAAGGGCUCGUAGGCGGUUUGUCACGUCGGGAGUGAAAACUCGGGGCUUAACCCCGAGCCUGCUUCCGAUACGGGCUGACUAGAGGUAUGCAGGGGAGAACGGAAUUCCUGGUGUAGCGGUGAAAUGCGCAGAUAUCAGGAGGAACACCGGUGGCGAAGGCGGUUCUCUGGGCAUUACCUGACGCUGAGGAGCGAAAGUGUGGGGAGCGAACAGG